GAUGAAGAACGUAGCGAAAUGCGAUAAGUAGUGUGAAUUGCAGAAUUCAGUGAAUCAUCGAAUCUUUGAACGCACAUUGCGCCCCUUGGUAUUCCAUGGGGCAUGCCUGUUCGAGCGUCAUCUACACCCUCAAGCUCUGCUUGGUGUUGGGCGUCUGUCCCGCCCCCGCGCGUGGACUCGCCCCAAAUCCAUUGGCAGCGUUCCUUGCCCCCUCUCGCGCAGCACAUUGCGCUUCUCGAGGGCGGCUCCGGGACGCGAUCCAGCAAGAUGACCACCGUCUUUGACCUCGGAUCAGGUAGGGAUACCCGCUGAACUUAAGCAUAUCGAUAAGCGGAGGA
RNAcentral lists this unclassified non-coding RNA (338 nucleotides) under soil metagenome. RNAcentral describes it as "partial contains 5.8S ribosomal RNA, internal transcribed spacer 2, and large subunit ribosomal RNA". The stretch from base 1 to 120 matches the Rfam family "5.8S ribosomal RNA", at positions 35 to 154 of the family's 154-position model. The record is from RNAcentral.